Thamnophis elegans (Western terrestrial garter snake) is the source of this 348-nucleotide long non-coding RNA. RefSeq lists it as uncharacterized. The transcript has 3 exons. The record is from RefSeq and is a predicted model, not a curated record. Lineage: Eukaryota; Metazoa; Chordata; Lepidosauria; Squamata; Natricidae.
GAGUGACAGUGAUUAGAUAUUUUAUUAUUUCAAAUCUCCUCAAUUUUACUUCAUUACACCAUGUUGACAAGAUUAUAAUUUAAGUCUCUAAAAAAACUCCAGGUCCAGAGACGGUCUUACAAACCAAUAUUUUAAAUUCUUUGAAGAUGAACUUCUUCAGCCACUAAACGAUACAAUGAACGAUAUUACACGAAGGAAGAAUACCUCAAACCUGGAAAGUAGCCAAUAUUGCAUUGCUACCGAAGGAAGGAGAACACAAUGGAGACACAGUGGGAGAAAGAUCUGAAAUGGCUUCCCAUGGCAGUUUUAUUGACUAGAAAAACAAAAAGCUUCAAAAAGGUUUUUCAU